AAUACGACUCUCGGCAACGGAUAUCUCGGCUCUCGCAUCGAUGAAGAACGUAGCGAAAUGCGAUACUUGGUGUGAAUUGCAGAAUCCCGUGAACCAUCGAGUCUUUGAACGCAAGUUGCGCCCCAAGCCUUCUGGCCGAGGGCACGUCUGCCUGGG
Molecule: ribosomal RNA, 156 nt
Filed under: Selenia dissecta
Lineage: Eukaryota; Viridiplantae; Streptophyta; Magnoliopsida; Brassicales; Brassicaceae
Also listed under: 1 other name
Description: 5.8S ribosomal RNA
Rfam family: 5.8S ribosomal RNA
About the family: 5.8S ribosomal RNA (5.8S rRNA) is a component of the large subunit of the eukaryotic ribosome. It is transcribed by RNA polymerase I as part of the 45S precursor that also contains 18S and 28S rRNA.
Source: RNAcentral